Molecule: ribosomal RNA, 473 nt
Filed under: Salmonella enterica subsp. enterica serovar Virchow
Lineage: Bacteria; Pseudomonadati; Pseudomonadota; Gammaproteobacteria; Enterobacterales; Enterobacteriaceae
Also listed under: 1 other name
Description: partial 23S ribosomal RNA
Rfam family: Bacterial large subunit ribosomal RNA
Source: RNAcentral
AGAAGUGCGAAUGCUGACAUAAGUAACGAUAAAGCGGGUGAAAAGCCCGCUCGCCGGAAGACCAAGGGUUCCUGUCCAACGUUAAUCGGGGCAGGGUGAGUCGACCCCUAAGGCGAGGCCGAAAGGCGUAGUCGAUGGGAAACGGGUUAAUAUUCCCGUACUUGGUGUUACUGCGAAGGGGGGACGGAGAAGGCUAUGUUGGCCGGGCGACGGUUGUCCCGGUUUAAGCGUGUAGGUGUGUGUUCCAGGUAAAUCCGGUUCACUUUAACACUGAGGCGUGACGACGAGGCACUACGGUGCUGAAGCAACAAAUGCCCUGCUUCCAGGAAAAGCCUCUAAGCAUCAGGUAACAUCAAAUCGUACCCCAAACCGACACAGGUGGUCAGGUAGAGAAUACCAAGGCGCUUGAGAGAACUCGGGUGAAGGAACUAGGCAAAAUGGUGCCGUAACUUCGGGAGAAGGCACGCUGACAC